GGAAAAUAUCCCAAGGACUAAUCUGAUCGGGUCUUCCUUCAUGAAGCAAACAUGUAGAAAGGGGUGGACCUUUCCCACAAGAGCCACAUUUCUUCCCUUG
This 100-nucleotide small RNA is filed under the name Pan troglodytes (chimpanzee). RNAcentral's name for it is "processed transcript". RNAcentral also lists the same sequence under 1 other name. The record is from RNAcentral. Lineage: Eukaryota; Metazoa; Chordata; Mammalia; Primates; Hominidae.